RNAcentral lists this ribosomal RNA (416 nucleotides) under uncultured bacterium. RNAcentral's name for it is "bacterial SSU rRNA". It matches the Rfam family "Bacterial small subunit ribosomal RNA", at positions 362 to 775 of the family's 1533-position model. The record is from RNAcentral.
UAUUGGUCCAUGGACGCGAGUCCGAAUCAGCCAAGUAGCGUGAAGGAUGACUGCCCUCUGGGUUGUAAACUUCUUUUAUAUGGGAAUAAAGUUUUCCACGUGUGGAAUUUUGUAUGUACCAUAUGAAUAAGGAUCGGCUAACUCCGUGCCACCAGACGCGGUAAUACGGAGGAUCCGAGCGUUAUCCGGAUUUAUUGGGUUUAAAGGGAGCGUAGGUGGACAGUUAAGUCAGUUUUGAAAGUUUGCGGCUCAACCGUAAAAUUGCAGUUGAUACUGGCUGUCUUGAGUACAGUAGAGGUGAGCGGAAUUCGUGGUGUAGCGGUGAAAUGCUUAGAUAUCACGAAGAACUCCGAUUGCGAAGGCAGCUCACUGGACUGCAACUGACACUGAUGCUCGAAAGUGUGGGUAUCAAACAG